GAACUAUAUAAAAGGGGUUGAAGGAGUCUCAGAGGACCAAAUGAAACACCAGCAUCCAUUCUGCUACAGAACAGACAAACUGUGUGAAGAUGUGGAGAUUAACGUGCGUCACUUUGACCCUUCUCAUGUGUGCCAAAGGUUCACUUUCUCAGCUGAAUGUUUGUGGACAGGCUCCUCUAAACACUCGUAUUGUGGGUGGCGUGGAUGCCUCUGAGGGCUCAUGGCCGUGG
This is a long non-coding RNA of Puntigrus tetrazona (Sumatra barb), 230 nucleotides long. RefSeq lists it as uncharacterized. The transcript has 3 exons. The record is from RefSeq and is a predicted model, not a curated record. NCBI's taxonomy places the organism in Eukaryota, Metazoa, Chordata, Actinopteri, Cypriniformes, Cyprinidae.